RNAcentral lists this unclassified non-coding RNA (1371 nucleotides) under Bombus terrestris (buff-tailed bumblebee). RNAcentral describes it as "misc RNA ENSBTSG00005035184.1". Lineage: Eukaryota; Metazoa; Arthropoda; Insecta; Hymenoptera; Apidae. The record is from RNAcentral.
GGUGAAACUUUUCGAAUCGAGGAUUCAUCGUUAUUCAGGAUCCUUCUCGUUAUUGUAAUGCUUCAGAACAGAAAAAGAACAAAAAAUAAUAAAAAGAAACAGACAGAAACUUGUGACGAGCAUAGAGUGAAAGAAAGGGUAAGGGGAAAAUAAAAAGUGGACUUUCAGGAUGCAAAAUCGCAUAGAGAAGUGACGUUAUAAUAGUACCUCUUGUAUGGGAGCCAACUGCUGCGCGAACCCUGACCGCUACACGGCACACAACAAACGCACACUUACUAUUUCUAUCAUUUUAACGACGAGAUUUCAGAUUGAAAGUUUCGAAAAUGAGAGUUUAUCGAUUAAAAAUUUAAUAUGCAAGUGGAGGAAGGUAAGCAGUAAAUUUGUAAUAUUCCAACAUUCGCUUUGCUAUUUCUAUCUUUUCUGAUAAUAUAGCGAAAGAAUAGAGGAGGUAUUGAGAAAACGAUCUUUCUGUAAUGACUGCGAUUACCUGUUGCGCCGCGUUUUGCAGAUUCAGCAACGGUUCCGAGCUUCUUUUCAGGAACAGUCGGAUCUUGUUUUCCUUCGGCGGUGGUUCCUUCUUACGCUGUGGACUGGGUGCUUGGUAAAACAUUUUUUGAAACACCCUAUAGAAACAAAGAAUACAUUAUUUCAUCUUUACUGUAUUUAUAUUUAUCUAAAUAUCGUGAUAGCAAUCUUUUUAACUGUUGUAAUAAAUAAUAUUAGAAGAGUGUCGUUAUUGUAAUAAUACGUACUACUUAAACAUCAAGAUUACCCUUGCACGAAAGAAAUAAAUUGAUCGUAGCAUUAAUCGCGAUACGAACCUACUUCUGGCUGCUAAAACAGCCUUCACAGCGCAAAUGGGCUCUUUUGUUUCACCGACGAGGAAGGUCACGUCGCAUAGUUCCGGCAUGCUAGCCAGAAACUUCAUGUCCUCGGCCAAGCCGGUCUUAUUCUCGAAAAUCGAAUAAUCCGACUCAUCGGCCACUUCUGACCCUGACGCCUCCGGCAUCGAGCUGAUAUUUUCCUGGAAAACAUUUCACGUAACGCAUGUUCCAUUAAAAAAUUUCAUAAGGUAUAAUUUUCUUCUUCUUUCGUCGUGAAAUUCCUUUUCUUUUCUUGUUUCACACAACGAAAAAAGAAAAAACGAUAUAAAGACAUACAAGAGUUUUGUUAUUGAAAUAUGGCAUCUUUAGUAUUUUAGAAUAAAAUGAUUGAAACUUAAAUUCGCGCACGCGUUGUAAUAUAUUCCACGUGAUAAAACGAAAGCUUUCUAAGUGUUAGGAGAGAUAUAUUUGGAUGACUAUGAGAAAGUUUGCUGAUAUAUUCUGAACAACUUUGCGAAUGAUAAACAAGCUUCAGCUAACCUGUGAU